GGCCAGACUCCUACGGGAGGCAGCAGUGGGGAAUAUUGCACAAUGGGGGAAACCCUGGUGCAGCGACGCCGCGUGAGUGAAGAAGUAUUUCGGUAUGUAAAGCUCUAUCAGCAGGGAAGAAAAUGACGGUACCUGACUAAGAAGCCCCGGCUAACUACGUGCCAGCAGCCGCGGUAAUACAUAGGGGGCAAGCGUUAUCCGGAAUUACUGGGUGUAAAGGGAGCGUAGACGGUGAAGUAAGUCUGGAGUGAAAGGCGGGGGCCCAACCCCCGGACUGCUCUGGAAACUAUUUGACUGGAGUGCAAGAGAGGUAGGCGGAAUUCCUAGUGUAGCGGUGAAAUGCGUAGAUAUUAGGAGGAACACCAGUGGCGAAGGCGGCUUACUGGACUGUAACUGACGUUGAGGCUCGAAAGCGUGGGGAGCAAACAGGAUUAGAUACCCCUGUA
Molecule: ribosomal RNA, 446 nt
Filed under: uncultured bacterium
Lineage: Bacteria
Description: bacterial SSU rRNA
Rfam family: Bacterial small subunit ribosomal RNA
Source: RNAcentral